RNAcentral lists this ribosomal RNA (253 nucleotides) under uncultured bacterium. Its description in RNAcentral is "partial 16S ribosomal RNA". It matches the Rfam family "Bacterial small subunit ribosomal RNA", at positions 524 to 776 of the family's 1533-position model. The record is from RNAcentral.
UACAGAGACUACAAGCGUUAUUCGGAUUCACUGGGCGUAAAGGGUGCGCAGGCGGCCGUGUGUGUGAGGCGUGAAAGCCCGGGGCUCAACCCCGGAAUUGCACCUCAAACUACAUGGCUAGAGCAUUGGAGAGGGUAGCGGAAUUCACGGUGUAGCAGUGAAAUGCGUAGAUAUCGUGAGGAACACCAGAGGCGAAGGCGGCUACCUGGACAAUUGCUGACGCUCAGGCACGAAAGCGUGGGGAGCAAAAGGG